CCUACGGGAGGCUGCCGUGGGGAAUAUUGGGCAAUGGGCGCGAGCCUGACCCAGCAACGCCGCGUGAAGGAAGAAGGCUUUCGGGUUGUAAACUUCUUUUCUCAGGGACGAAGCAAGUGACGGUACCUGAGGAAUAAGCCACGGCUAACUACGUGCCAGCAGCCGCGGUAAUACGUAGGUGGCAAGCGUUAUCCGGAUUUACUGGGUGUAAAGGGCGUGUAGGCGGGAAAGCAAGUCAGAUGUGAAAACCAUGGGCUCAACCUGUGGCCUGCAUUUGAACCUGUUUUUCUUGAGUACUGGAGAGGCAGACGGAAUUCCUAGUGUAGCGGUGAAAUGCGUAGAGAUUAGGAGGAACACCAGUGGCGAAGGCGGUCUGCUGGACAGCAACUGACGCUGAGGCGCGAAAGCGUGGGGAGCAAACAGGAUUAGAUACCCGAGUAGUC
RNAcentral lists this ribosomal RNA (443 nucleotides) under uncultured bacterium. Its description in RNAcentral is "partial 16S ribosomal RNA". It matches the Rfam family "Bacterial small subunit ribosomal RNA", at positions 338 to 795 of the family's 1533-position model. The record is from RNAcentral.